Non-coding RNA from Oryza glaberrima (African rice), 203 nucleotides. The record is from Rfam. NCBI's taxonomy places the organism in Eukaryota, Viridiplantae, Streptophyta, Magnoliopsida, Poales, Poaceae.
AAUAAAUGUAGCCGUGGAAAUCCGUAUCCAACGUUUGACCGUUCGUCUUAUUUAAAAAUUUUAUGAAAUUUUUUUAAAAAAUUAGUCACACAUAAAGUACUAUUCAUGCUUUAUCAUCUAAUAACAAUAAAAUUAGUAAUAAAAAAAUUAAAUAAGACGAACGGUCAAACGUUGAAGAUGAAUAUUGCAAAACUGCACUUAUU